This 875-nucleotide ribosomal RNA is filed under the name Escherichia coli. Its description in RNAcentral is "partial 23S ribosomal RNA". It matches the Rfam family "Bacterial large subunit ribosomal RNA", at positions 552 to 1426 of the family's 2925-position model. The record is from RNAcentral. Lineage: Bacteria; Pseudomonadati; Pseudomonadota; Gammaproteobacteria; Enterobacterales; Enterobacteriaceae.
GAAACCGUGUACGUACAAGCAGUGGGAGCACGCUUAGGCGUGUGACUGCGUACCUUUUGUAUAAUGGGUCAGCGACUUAUAUUCUGUAGCAAGGUUAACCGAAUAGGGGAGCCGAAGGGAAACCGAGUCUUAACUGGGCGUUAAGUUGCAGGGUAUAGACCCGAAACCCGGUGAUCUAGCCAUGGGCAGGUUGAAGGUUGGGUAACACUAACUGGAGGACCGAACCGACUAAUGUUGAAAAAUUAGCGGAUGACUUGUGGCUGGGGGUGAAAGGCCAAUCAAACCGGGAGAUAGCUGGUUCUCCCCGAAAGCUAUUUAGGUAGCGCCUCGUGAAUUCAUCUCCGGGGGUAGAGCACUGUUUCGGCAAGGGGGUCAUCCCGACUUACCAACCCGAUGCAAACUGCGAAUACCGGAGAAUGUUAUCACGGGAGACACACGGCGGGUGCUAACGUCCGUCGUGAAGAGGGAAACAACCCAGACCGCCAGCUAAGGUCCCAAAGUCAUGGUUAAGUGGGAAACGAUGUGGGAAGGCCCAGACAGCCAGGAUGUUGGCUUAGAAGCAGCCAUCAUUUAAAGAAAGCGUAAUAGCUCACUGGUCGAGUCGGCCUGCGCGGAAGAUGUAACGGGGCUAAACCAUGCACCGAAGCUGCGGCAGCGACGCUUAUGCGUUGUUGGGUAGGGGAGCGUUCUGUAAGCCUGUGAAGGUGUGCUGUGAGGCAUGCUGGAGGUAUCAGAAGUGCGAAUGCUGACAUAAGUAACGAUAAAGCGGGUGAAAAGCCCGCUCGCCGGAAGACCAAGGGUUCCUGUCCAACGUUAAUCGGGGCAGGGUGAGUCGACCCCUAAGGCGAGGCCGAAAGGCGUAGUCGAUGGGAAAC